Molecule: ribosomal RNA, 381 nt
Filed under: uncultured eukaryote
Lineage: Eukaryota
Description: partial 18S ribosomal RNA
Rfam family: Eukaryotic small subunit ribosomal RNA
Source: RNAcentral
CAAUAGCGUAUAUUAAAGCUGUUGCGGUUAAGAAGCUCGUAGUUGGAUUUCUGUCAAGGACAACUGGUCCGCCCUCCGGGUGAGCACAUAGUUUGGUCUUGGCAUCUUGCUGGAAACUGUUGCUGCGCUUGGUUGUGUGGUGCAGCUUUCAGCACUUUCACUUUGAGGAAAUUGGAGUGUUUCAAGCAGGCACAUGCCUUUGGACACAGUAGCAUGGAAUAAUUAGAUUGGGCUUUUGCUCCAACUUGUUGGUUCCUGGAGCUGAGGUGAGAAUCAAUGGGGAUUGUUGGGGGCAUCCGAAUUUAGCCGUCAGAGGUGAAAUUCUUGGAUCUGCUAAAGACGGACAACUGCGAAANCGNNNGCCCAGGAUGUUUUCAUNGA